RNAcentral lists this ribosomal RNA (301 nucleotides) under uncultured bacterium. Its description in RNAcentral is "partial 16S ribosomal RNA". It matches the Rfam family "Bacterial small subunit ribosomal RNA", at positions 509 to 807 of the family's 1533-position model. The record is from RNAcentral.
CAGCCGCCACGGGAAUACGUAGGGGGCAAGCGUUAUCCGGAAUUACUGGGUGUAAAGGGAGCGUAGACGGUUAAACAAGUCUGAAGUGAAAUGCCGGGGCCCAACCCCGGAGCUGCUUUGGGAACUGUAGAACUGGAGUGUCGGAGGGGUAAGCGGAAUUCCCAGUGUAGCGGUGAAAUGCGUAGAUAUUGGGAGGAACACCGGCGGCGAAGGCGGCUUACUGGACGACAACUGACGUUGAGGCUCGAAGGCGUGGGUAGCAAACAGGAUUAGAUACCCCGGUAGUCCCUGUCUCUUAUAC